GGGGUCGUGGGGUAGCAUGGACAUCCUAUCGGGCUCCGGACCCGAUGACCUGGGUUCAAAUCCCAGCGACUCCG
RNAcentral lists this transfer RNA (74 nucleotides) under Candidatus Methanophagales archaeon. RNAcentral's name for it is "tRNA-Arg". It matches the Rfam family "tRNA". Rfam says of the family: Transfer RNA (tRNA) molecules are approximately 80 nucleotides in length. Their secondary structure includes four short double-helical elements and three loops (D, anti-codon, and T loops). Lineage: Archaea; Methanobacteriati; Methanobacteriota; Methanomicrobia; Candidatus Methanophagales. The record is from RNAcentral. RNAcentral also lists the same sequence under 4 other names.